Molecule: ribosomal RNA, 483 nt
Filed under: uncultured bacterium
Lineage: Bacteria
Description: bacterial SSU rRNA
Rfam family: Bacterial small subunit ribosomal RNA
Source: RNAcentral
AUUGAACGCUGGCGGCAUGCCUUACACAUGCAAGUCGAACGGCAGCACGGGAGCAAUCCUGGUGGCGAGUGGCGAACGGGUGAGUAAUAUAUCGGAACGUGCCCAGUCGUGGGGAUAACGUAGCGAAAGCUACGCUAAUACCGCAUACGAUCUAUGGAUGAAAGCGGGGGAUCGCAAGACCUCGCGCGAUUGGAGCGGCCGAUAUCAGAUUAGGUAGUUGGUGGGGUAAAGGCUCACCAAGCCAACGAUCUGUAGCUGGUCUGAGAGGACGACCAGCCACACUGGAACUGAGACACGGUCCAGACUCCUACGGGAGGCAGCAGUGGGGAAUUUUGGACAAUGGACGCAAGUCUGAUCCAGCCAUUCCGCGUGCAGGAUGAAGGCCCUCGGGUUGUAAACUGCUUUUGUACGGAACGAAAGGUUUCUAUUAAUACUAGGAGCUCAUGACGGUACCGUAAGAAUAAGCUACCGGCUAACUACGUG